UACGGAGGGGGCUAGCGUUAUUCGGAAUUAUUGGGCGUAAAGGGCGUGUAGGCGGCUUCGUGUGUCCCAUGUGAAAGCCCUUGGCUCAACCGGGGAACUGCAUGGGAAACUGCGUAGCUUGAGUCCGGGAGAGGAGAGCGGAAUUCCCAGUGUAGCGGUGAAAUGCGUAGAUAUUGGGAGGAACACCGGUGGCGAAGGCGGCUCUCUGGACCGGUACUGACGCUGAGACGCGAAAGCCAGGGGAGCAAACGGG
Molecule: ribosomal RNA, 253 nt
Filed under: uncultured bacterium
Lineage: Bacteria
Description: partial 16S ribosomal RNA
Rfam family: Bacterial small subunit ribosomal RNA
Source: RNAcentral